Molecule: long non-coding RNA, 1657 nt
Organism: Gasterosteus aculeatus aculeatus (three-spined stickleback)
Lineage: Eukaryota; Metazoa; Chordata; Actinopteri; Perciformes; Gasterosteidae
Source: Ensembl
GCUUAAUCAAAUCCCAACUGUUGAGGUUUCACAGAAUAUGCAGCAGAGAAGAGGAUUUCCGUGUUGCAGUCGGGGUGCUCUUUCACGCUUUGUCCACCAGGGGGUACUCUAGGACCUUUCUUAGAAAAUGCCAGAGGUCAUUUCUAGAGAAGAAGCCUAUUACUGUGGGCUCCAGUCUCCCCUUUGUCACCACAUAUUCACCUUCUACUAUGGCAUUGGUCAGAGGAUGCAGAAGGAGAUUCCUCUCCCACACCACAGGGUCUUCUGUCCUGCAGGACCACAGGAUCAUCCCGGCCUACAGGAGAAACAAGAAUCUACUGGAUUAUCUGGUAAAGGCCAAAUUAAAACCUCUGCACAGCACUAAGGGGAGAGGUCAGAGUGAUGUCUUUUUUAAACACAGAAAAUGGCUGCAAAGCCACAGCACGGGAGAUGUUUUUCUGAACUCAGCCAGGGGAAACACCAAGUCUAAGAACUGUGUUUACCUCAUCACGUGUGUACAAUGUGGAUUACAAUAUGUGGGGGAGACGGGGAACACCAUCGCGACCCGCUUCACACAACACAAACACAACAUCAUUAAAAAGAAAAAAACACUGACGCCACUUGUGGCACAUUUUAUUUCGCACGGCUGGAAAUCUGUGUCUGUGUGUGUGAUCCAGACGAACCCCGGAUGGAGCGCUCCCCAGAGGAGGAGAGCGGAGAGGGGCUGGAUCAAUAAAUUAAACACCAGGUAUCCUAAGGGCUUAAAUGAGGACUAAGAGCUGCGGGCUGUGAGGCAGUGCUGGACAGUGCGCAGAUGGUCCUGCUUGCAGGUCCAUCAAAAACUAUUUAUUCCCUAACCGGCCCGUGCCGCCUGCUGAGCAGCCUGCGGUCUCUACGGUUCUCUCAUACAGCCCACCCUGUUAUUUGGUCCUAAACACAACCACUUCAUAACCCAUGCCUAAACCUAAUCCUUUACAGCCCACCCGGUUAUUUUAUCCUAAACACAACCACUCCAUAACCUAUGCCUAAUCUUAACCCUUCAUCAUGUGUGGUGGCACUGUAAAUAUUUCUGCUUAUUGAAAAAAAUGUGUGUAUUAUUCAUAUUCCAUUACUGUUUCUAAUUUUAAUAAUUCAAUGUAUGAUGUUUGCUGAUGUUAUUAUCAUGUUUAUGCGUUAUUACUAAGUGAUUCAUGUUUCUGGUUUCGACGAUGCUGGUAUUUCGGAUUGUGAGACGGGUGCAUUGAACGUCUCACUGUAUGCGAUGCACCUAGAGAUUCGUAGUUCAGCGCAGCUAUUGGUCAGCUAAACCGGGGAGGGGAAAGGUCACGGCCGCCAUAUUGGCGACGCCCUAGCCGGACCGUCAUUUCACCGAGCUGACCAGAGCGACAACAACAGCGCGCACCUUUAGCUCACACUUUUUGACAAGUUCUAUAGCCUGAGGAAGGAUAUUCUUUAUAUCCGAAACGUUGCUAAACUGUUUAAACUUGUUCCGUUUAUUGUUUUAUUUUUGUUGUUAUUGUUCCAGUUAAUAAAAGGUAAAAAGAACAACUUUUCCUUCGCCUUUUUUUUCGUGGCUAGUGAACACGAGGCUUCACUAGCUAGCGACAUGUACGGGCGUGGCCGGGAGGAUGAAGGCGAGUGGACGCUGGUGCAGUACGGCAGACGCGGUAGGCGCCGC